This 245-nucleotide ribosomal RNA is filed under the name uncultured bacterium. RNAcentral's name for it is "partial 16S ribosomal RNA". It matches the Rfam family "Bacterial small subunit ribosomal RNA", at positions 524 to 768 of the family's 1533-position model. The record is from RNAcentral.
CACGUAAGGGGCAAGCGUUGUUCGGAAUUAUUGGGCGUAAAGGGCGCGUAGGCUGUCUGGUAAGCCUGGUGUGAAAUCCCGGGGCUCAACCCCGGAAUUGCAUUGGGAACUGCUGGACUUGAGUCAUGGAAGGGAAGUUAGAAUUCCAGGUGUAGGGGUGAAAUCUGUAGAUAUCUGGAAGAAUACCGGUGGCGAAGGCGAACUUCUGGCCAAUGACUGACGCUGAGGCGCGAAAGUGCGGGGAG